CCUAGUGGUGAUAGCGGAGAGGAAACACCCGUUCCCAUCCCGAACACGGAAGUUAAGCCCUCCAGCGCCGAUGGUAGUUGGGGCCAGCGCCCCUGCAAGAGUAGGUCGCUGCUAGGC
RNAcentral lists this ribosomal RNA (117 nucleotides) under Geobacillus sp. CAMR12739. Lineage: Bacteria; Bacillati; Bacillota; Bacilli; Caryophanales; Anoxybacillaceae. The record is from RNAcentral.